RNAcentral lists this ribosomal RNA (526 nucleotides) under Colletotrichum sp. OORC28. RNAcentral's name for it is "eukaryotic LSU rRNA". The stretch from base 177 to 326 matches the Rfam family "5.8S ribosomal RNA". The record is from RNAcentral. Lineage: Eukaryota; Fungi; Ascomycota; Sordariomycetes; Glomerellales; Glomerellaceae.
GGGUGGUCGGCGGCGUCACUUAGGCCUUUGUGUUCAUACCUCUUACUGUGUGCUACUGCGGGUAGGGUCGGGGUGACCCUCCCUGCCUCCGGGGGUGGGCGGGUCGGCUCCCACCCGAGGAUAACCUUGCUCUGAUUUAACGACUUUUCUUCUGAUUGAAACAUUUAAAUAAUCAAAACUUUUAACAACGGAUCUCUUGGUUCUGGCAUCAAUGAGAACGCAAUGUGAAUUGCAAGUAAUGUGAAUUGUCAAUUCUUUGAAUCAUAUUGCUUUGAACGGACAUUGCGGGGGCCAGCCUUCUGGAGGGCAUGUUUGUUCUCAAGUCUUUUCUUGGUUUUGGGUCUGCUUGGUGUUGGGGCCCCUCAAAUCGACCGGGUGGGUCUUCUGUCCCCCGGACCCUCCGGGACUAUUCUUUAAAGGGUGCUUUGGAUGCUACACUGUGAUCCGGACCGACUCUUGCGUUGACCCCCGAAUUCUCCGGAUACUGACCUCAACUUAAGGAAAUAAUACCCGCCGAAGAAAAAGC